AGAAGAGAAGAGAAGAGAAGAGAAGAGAAGAGAAGAGAAGAGAAGAGAAGAGAAGAGAAGAGAAGACAGAGACUGUAUCAGGUCUAUAACACAGAGAGACAGAGACUGUAUCAGGUCUAUAACACAGAGAGACAGAGACUGUAUCAGGUCUAUAACACAGAGAGACAGAGACUGUAUCAGGUCUAUAACACAGCUCCUACAGACAGAGACUGUAUCAGGUCUAUAACACAGAGAGACAGAGACUGUAUCAGGUCUAUAACACAGAGAGACAGAGACUGUAUCAGGUCUAGAACACAGAGAAACAGAGACUGUAUCAGGUCUAUAACACAGAGAGACAGAGACUGUAUCAGGUCUAUAACACAGAGAGACAGAGACUGUAUCAGGUCUAUAACACAGAGAGACAGAGACUGUAUCAGGUCUAUAACACAGAGAGACAGAGACUGUAUCAGGUCUAUAACACAGCUCCUCCUGACAGAGACUGUAUCAGGUCUAUAACACAGAGAGACAGAGACUGUAUCAGGUCUAUAACACAGAGAGACAGAGACUGUAUCAGGUCUAUAACACAGAGAGACAGAGACUGUAUCAGGUCUAUAACACAGAGAGACAGAGACUGUAUCAGGUCUAUAACACAGAGAGACAGAGACUGUAUCAGGUCUAUAACACAGAGAGACAGAGACUGUAUCAGGUCUAUAACACAGAGAGACAGAGACUGUAUCAGGUCUAUAACACAGAGAGACAGAGACUGUAUCAGGUCUAUAACACAGAGAGACAGAGACUGUAUCAGGUCUAUAACACAGAGAGACAGAGACUGUAUCAGGUCUAUAACACAGAGAGACAGAGACUGUAUCAGGUCUAUAACACAGAGAGACAGAGACUGUAUCAGGUCUAUAACACAGAGAGACAGAGACUGUAUCAGGUCUAUAACACAGAGAGACAGAGACUGUAUCAGGUCUAUAACACAGAGAGACAGAGACUGUAUCAGGUCUAUAACACAGAGAGACAGAGACUGUAUCAGGUCUAUAACACAGAGAGACAGAGACUGUAUCAGGUCUAUAACACAGAGAGACAGAGACUGUAUCAGGUCUCUAACACAGAGAGACAGAGACUGUAUCAGGUCUCUAACACAGAGAGACAGAGACUGUAUCAGGUCUAUAACACAGCUCCUCCUGACAGAGACUAAGACACAUUGAAGAGACAGAGAGUUGUGAAUCAUCUCCUCAUGAUGACAACCAAGUCUGUUAUGUUAUGGUUUAUUCACACACACGCACACGCACACGCACACAGACACACACACACACACACACACACACACACACACACACACACACACACACACACACACACACACACACACACACACACACACACACACACACACACACACACACACACACUCUCUCUCUCUCUGGUUUCCCCAGUCUGAACCCCCCUCUGUUUUUGAUGACAGAGUCUGUUAAUCAGAGAACGUCUCCAUUCUGUUAGUUCAACUCAACAAAUCACAGGGCUGUGUGUUUUAUAAUAGAGACCAGAUGACUGAGUGAGGCUGCAGGCAGCUG
Long non-coding RNA from Oncorhynchus keta (chum salmon), 1556 nucleotides. RefSeq lists it as uncharacterized. The transcript has 3 exons. Lineage: Eukaryota; Metazoa; Chordata; Actinopteri; Salmoniformes; Salmonidae. The record is from RefSeq and is a predicted model, not a curated record.